Molecule: ribosomal RNA, 253 nt
Filed under: uncultured bacterium
Lineage: Bacteria
Description: partial 16S ribosomal RNA
Rfam family: Bacterial small subunit ribosomal RNA
Source: RNAcentral
UACAGAGGUCUCGAGCGUUGUUCGGAUUCAUUGGGCGUAAAGGGCGCGUAGGCGGCGCGGUAAGUCGGGUGUGAAAUCUCGGAGCUUAACUCCGAAACUGCAUUCGAUACUGCCGUGCUUGAGGACUGGAGAGGAGACUGGAAUUUACGGUGUAGCGGUGAAAUGCGUAGAUAUCGUAAGGAAGACCAGUGGCGAAGGCGGGUCUCUGGACAGUUCCUGACGCUGAGGCACGAAGGCCAAGGGAGCAAACGGG